This 492-nucleotide ribosomal RNA is filed under the name uncultured bacterium. RNAcentral's name for it is "partial 16S ribosomal RNA". It matches the Rfam family "Bacterial small subunit ribosomal RNA", at positions 29 to 507 of the family's 1533-position model. The record is from RNAcentral.
AGUGAACGCUGGCGGUAGGCCUAACACAUGCAAGUCGAACGGCAGCACCGUAAGAGCUUGCUCUUCCGGGUGGCGAGUGGCGGACGGGUGAGGAAUACAUCGGAAUCUACUUUUUCGUGGGGGAUAACGUAGGGAAACUUACGCUAAUACCGCAUACGACCUACGGGUGAAAGCAGGGGAUCUUCGGACCUUGCGCGAUUGAAUGAGCCGAUGUCGGAUUAGCUAGUUGGCGGGGUAAAGGCCCACCAAGGCGACGAUCCGUAGCUGGUCUGAGAGGAUGAUCAGCCACACUGGAACUGAGACACGGUCCAGACUCCUACGGGAGGCAGCAGUGGGGAAUAUUGGACAAAGGGCGCAAGCCUGAUCCAGCCAUACCGCGUGGGUGAAGAAGGCCUUCGGGUUGUAAAGCCCUUUUGUUGGGAAAGAAAAGCAGCAGGUUAAUACCCCGCUGUUCUGACGGUACCCAAAGAAUAAGCACCGGCUAACUUCGUG